AACGCUGGUCGGUAUGCUUAACACAUGCAAGUCGAACGGUAGAUACUUCGGUAUUGAGAGUGGCGGACGGGUGAGUAACGCGUAGGAAUCUGCCUAAUAGAUGGGGACAACUCAGGGAAACUUGAGCUAAUACCGAAUACGCCCUACGGGGGAAAGCGGGGGAUCUUCGGACCUCGCGCUAUUAGAUGAGCCUGCGUUGGAUUAGCUAGUAGGUAGGGUAAAGGCCUACCUAGGCGACGAUCCAUAGCUGUUCUGAGAGGAAGAUCAGCCACACUGGGACUGAGACACGGCCCAGACUCCUACGGGAGGCAGCAGUGGGGAAUAUUGGACAAUGGGCGCAAGCCUGAUCCAGCAAUACCGCGUGUGUGAAGAAGGCCUUCGGGUUGUAAAGCACUUUUAUGAGUGAAGAAGGCUUAAUAGUUAAUACCUAUUGAGAUUACGGUAACUCACGAAUAAGCACCGGCUAACUCCGUGCCAGCGGCCGCGGUAAUACGGAGGGUGCAAGCGUUAAUCGGAAUUACUGGGCGUAAAGGGUACGUAGGCGGUUAGAUAAGUUGGAUGUGAAAGCCCCGGGCUCAACCUGGGAACUGCAUUCAAGCAUGGCAAACUAGAGUACUGUAGAGGGUGGUGGAAUUUCCAGUGUAGCGGUGAAAUGCGUAGAGAUUGGAAGGAACAUCAGUGGCGAAGGCGGCCACCUGGACAGAUACUGACGCUGAGGAACGAAAGCGUGGGGCGCAAACAGGAUUAGAUACCCUGGUAGUCCACGCCGUAAACGAUGUCAACUAGCCGUUUUGUGGACUUGAUCCGUGAGUGGCGCAGCUAACGCACUAAGUUGACCGCCUGGGGAGUACGGCCGCAAGGUUAAAACUCAAAUGAAUUGACGGGGGCCCGCACAAGCGGUGGAGCAUGUGGUUUAAUUCGAUGCAACGCGAAGAACCUUACCAUCCCUUGACAUCCAGAGAAUUCGCUAGAGAUAGCUUAGUGCCUUCGGGACCUCUGUGACAGGUGCUGCAUGGCUGUCAUCAGCUCGUGUCGUGAGAUGUUGGGUUAAGUCCCGUAACGAGCGCAACCCUUAUCCUUUAGUUGCUACCAUUUAGUUGGGCACUUUAAGGAGACUGCCGGUGUUAAACCGGAGGAAGGUGGGGACGACGUCAAGUCAUCAUGGCCCUUAUGGGUAGGGCUACACACGUGCUACAAUGGCCGGUACAGAGGGCUGCAAACUUGCGAGAGUAAGCUAAUCCCUUAAAGCCGGUCCUAGUCCGGAUUGGAGUCUGCAACUCGACUCCAUGAAGCUGGAAUCGCUAGUAAUCGCGGAUCAGAAUGCCGCGGUGAAUUCGUUCCCGGGCCUUGUACACACCGCCCGUCACACCAUGGGAGUGGGUUGCAAAAGAAGUGGGUAGGCUAACCUUCGGGAGGCCGCUCACCACUUUGUGAUUCAUGACUGGGG
This 1447-nucleotide ribosomal RNA is filed under the name uncultured prokaryote. RNAcentral's name for it is "partial 16S ribosomal RNA". It matches the Rfam family "Bacterial small subunit ribosomal RNA". The record is from RNAcentral.